RNAcentral lists this unclassified non-coding RNA (1441 nucleotides) under Hevea brasiliensis (rubber tree). Lineage: Eukaryota; Viridiplantae; Streptophyta; Magnoliopsida; Malpighiales; Euphorbiaceae. The record is from RNAcentral.
GCCAAAAAGACCUUUCAAGCAAAGGAUGGUGAGUAGAUGAGAACGUGUGGCAAAAUAGUUCACCAACUCUUCUUCUAUCAGUGUCCGUCCAUUGAUCUCACCUACAAAUUCCCUCCCCUCUACUUCUAUAUACAGAAGCUGUUAUAAAAGCAAUCAAUUACAAGAGUAGGAUAGUACCAAGAUUUGUAAAGGAAAAAAAAAAGCCCCAAAACAGCUCGCAAGAUCAAGAAUGGAUUAUGAAGUACUGCCUGCAGUUUGCGUUCUUGAUGCUUCAACUUAUGUCGGUUUUUGGAUUCUCAAGGGACUCUUGAAUAGAGGAUACACAGUUCAUGCAGCUACCCAAAAGAAUGGAGAGACAGAGAUAGAGGAGAAAAUAAGAGAUAUGGAGAAAGAAGAGGAGAGAUUGGUAGUAUUUGAUGUAGAUGUUUUGGAUUACCAGAGCAUUCUUUUUGCUUUGAAGGGCUGCUCUGCUUUGUUCUGUUGUUUAGAUAGUCCAGAUGGAUAUGAAGAUGGAGUUGUUGAUUUUGAAGUUAGAGGAGCAAUCAAUGCAGUUGAAGCUUGUGCACAAACUGAUAGCAUAGAAAAGAUUGUAUUUACUUCUUCUUUAACUGCAGCAAUAUGGAAAGAAAACGUCUGUUCACAAGAAGAUGUAGAUGAGAAGUCUUGGAGUGAUCAAGAAUUUUGCAGGAAAUUAAAGUUGUGGUACGCCCUCACAAAGACACAGUCGGAACAAGCAGCUUGGGCUUUAGCAAUGGACCGAAUGCUGAACAUGGUUUCCAUUAAUGCUGGACUAGUUUUGGGCCCCGCUGUUGCUCAACAAAAUCCACGAUCCACUAUCUCUUACCUCCAAGGAGCAGCUCAGAUGUAUGAAAAUGGAGUGAUGGCCUUUGUAGAUGUGAAGUUCCUGGUGGAUGUUCAUAUUCGGGCUUUCGAGGAUAGGUCAACAUGUGGGCGAUACUUCUGCUUCAACAAGAUUGUGAAUACUGAGCAAGAGGCUCUUAAACUUGCCAAAAGCUUGAGCCCUUUAAUCUCUUUACCACCAAGGUAAUUAACUAAAUUAGUUGGUAGAAUAAUGCACGUGAAGGAUGAUAAAUUGAUGCAUGCAUACGUGAACGCUUUGGGCCCAUUUUUUUAUAUGCAGGUAUGAAUGCCAAGGAAGUGACGUGCAUGCUGAGAGGUUAAGGAACAAGAAGUUGAACAAGUUGGUUGAGGGUACUGCCUAUUAGUAGUCAUUUAAUGUACUUUUUUUCUUAUAUAUAAUAUGAUCAGCUAUAUGAGAUAGCCGAAUGGCUAACCUAUAGCCGAUUGGCUGCAUGUUCUCAGGUUUUUUUAAUGGCAUCUUGUGAUUUUUAUCAAUUAUCAUGAUAUCUUUUUGGAUGUAUCUGCGGGGUUAUAUUAUUGCUUUUUAUUGUUCCUUGAUAAAAUUAAAAUGCUUUUAAAU